RNAcentral lists this ribosomal RNA (497 nucleotides) under uncultured bacterium. RNAcentral describes it as "partial 16S ribosomal RNA". It matches the Rfam family "Bacterial small subunit ribosomal RNA", at positions 28 to 507 of the family's 1533-position model. The record is from RNAcentral.
GAUGAACGCUGGCGGCGUGCCUAAUACAUGCAAGUCGAGCGAACGGACGAGAAGCUUGCUUUUCUGAUGUUAGCGGCGGGCGGGUGUGUAACACGUGUAUAACCUACCUAUAAGACUGGUAUCACUUCGGGACACCGGCGCUUAUACCGUAUAAUAUUUUGCACCGCAUGGUUCAAUAGAGAAAGACGGUCUUUCUGUCUCUUAUAGAUGGAUCCGCGCUGCAUUAGCUAGUUGGUAAGGUAACCGCUUACCAAGGCAACUAUGCAUAGCCGAACUGAGGGGGUGAUAGGCCACACGGGAACGGAGACACGGUCCAGACUCCUACGGGAGGCAGCAGUAGGGAACCUGCCGCAAUGGGCGAGAGUCUGACGGAGCAACGCCGCGUGAGUGAUGAAGGUGUUCGGAGCGGAAAACUCUGUUAUUAGGGAAGAACAGAUGUGUACGUAACUGUGCACAGCUUGACGGUACCUAAUCAGAAAGCCACGGCUAACUACGUG